Hevea brasiliensis (rubber tree) is the source of this 1190-nucleotide long non-coding RNA. RefSeq lists it as uncharacterized. NCBI's taxonomy places the organism in Eukaryota, Viridiplantae, Streptophyta, Magnoliopsida, Malpighiales, Euphorbiaceae. The record is from RefSeq and is a predicted model, not a curated record. The transcript is spliced from 2 exons.
UUAAUAAUUCAGCUUCAUGCCUCCAAUUACAUCUUAUAGUCAUAUAAUUUUUCAUCAUCAGGUUUUGCACGGUCUCAAUGCACAUACUCAUCACAAAAUAAGGGUCUAUAAUAUAUACGUACAGACUGCUCAAUAGUCAAUGCAAUUGGGCAAAAAAACAAUAAUAUUAUAGAUGAAUACAAAUCAGCUUAAUGCUCUCCCAUAACAAAUGUCCAUACACAGCAUGUGAGGAUUGAGGUUUUGGUUUCAGCAUUGUAAAUCAAUAUUAAGACUGCAUUUUAGAGAUUGGAACUAAGCUAAAUUCAUCCGAACGCAAGAAGCUUUGCACAUCAUUGAUAUAUAUAGUCAUAUUUAGUUAAUUGAGAUUCAAUCCUUCUCCGUUAUUCAAUCAAAUCAAUGAGCUUUACUACCUAAUUACUAGACACCUGCUUGAUUCUGUUGCUUCCUUUAGUUCCCAACUCCCUAUUUGUUUUGCAGACUUGCCCAUGUCUUAGGAGGAUUAUCAGAUGAGUAAUCAAAGAUAAAAACCAUAAUUAAAAAAUAAUCAUACAUGAAGAAAAGAGAGAGAUAAGCACAAUAGUCACGUCCUUUUGUUUCAGGGCCCAUGUUUGGUUGUCACGUCCUUUUGAGAUAAGCACAAUACACUGUCAUUUCUUAUAUUUUAUCCAUAACUCAUUUAUAUAUGUAGAUCUGUAUCUCAAGACUCUUAGCUGUGCCUGUACUUGCAUAUGCACAGGGUGUUACUGGUUUCCUGUGGUUUUCCUUGCUGCACUUUCCUCAUCCAUUGUUUACAUAUUCGUGGGUUUUUACCAUUAUAGUUGUUUCUUCAAAGCCAAAGAAGAAGGCAGCAGCAUACUCAUCUGAAGAUAAAGGUUACUGUUUAUCCUCCUCAUUGAACUAUUGUUUCCUCUGCUAGUUCCUGCUGGUGAUAAUGGCGAUGGUGAUGAUGAAGUUGCUAAUGAGGCUUCUUUAUCUUCUACUCCAGCCUUACACUCAUCAGUUGCAAAUCAGCUCAAGUCAGAGGGAGGCUAAGGCUUAUCCAAAAAGAAGCAAUUUGGAGCAUUAUAAAAGCUAGAAGCCAGCUGAAUUCCAAGGAGCCCUUCAUGGAGUUAAAGGGCAGUUUGGUAUUUUUACUAUGAUUAAUGGUAAAUUGAAUAAAAAUUGAAUAAAAGGAACUAUGUUAUAACUUA